AAAAGGGGAUGGACAUUGUUCCUUUUAGAAUUCACCAAACCCAUGUUUUAAAUGGGUAAUUCCUUUAAUUUUACUGGGAUUCCCUUUCCAGAAAUUCAGAGCCUGUGUUCUACCUUCUUGCUUAUACUUCUCCACAAGGAGGGCAGAGACAGAUCCGACGCCCCAACCCUGUGGUCUUUAUCUAGGCCUGCCCUGAGUGCUGGAAUUUAGAAGUGACACAGCAUCAGUUUUCAUUUUAAACAUUUAUUGAAUGCUUACUAUAUGCCGGGCACUUUUACAAGAGUUUUAGGUAUGUUAACUCAAUUUAAUGGCCCCAUGAGAUAAACACUACUUUUUUGACCAUUUCACAGGCGAGGACAGUGAGGUGGAAAGCUCAUAUCACUUGUUCAAAGUCACACCACUGGUAAGUGGGGAGUUGGGAUUCAAACCCAG
Molecule: long non-coding RNA, 432 nt
Filed under: Homo sapiens (human)
Lineage: Eukaryota; Metazoa; Chordata; Mammalia; Primates; Hominidae
Description: non-protein coding lnc-LCE5A-4:1
Source: RNAcentral